RNAcentral lists this ribosomal RNA (676 nucleotides) under Clonostachys rosea. Its description in RNAcentral is "partial large subunit ribosomal RNA". It matches the Rfam family "Eukaryotic large subunit ribosomal RNA", at positions 76 to 788 of the family's 3401-position model. Lineage: Eukaryota; Fungi; Ascomycota; Sordariomycetes; Hypocreales; Bionectriaceae. The record is from RNAcentral.
UGCCCUAGUAACGGCGAGUGAAGCGGCAACAGCUCAAAUUUGAAAUCUGGCGCAAGCCCGAGUUGUAAUUUGUAGAGGAUGUUUCUGGCGACGUGCCUUCCGAGUUCCCUGGAACGGGACGCCAUAGAGGGUGAGAGCCCCGUACGGUUGGAUGCCUAGCCUCUGUGAAACUCCUUCGACGAGUCGAGUAGUUUGGGAAUGCUGCUCUAAAUGGGAGGUAUACGUCUUCUAAAGCUAAAUACCGGCCAGAGACCGAUAGCGCACAAGUAGAGUGAUCGAAAGAUGAAAAGCACUUUGAAAAGAGGGUUAAAAAGUACGUGAAAUUGUUGAAAGGGAAGCGUUCAUGACCAGACUUGGGCAGGUUGAUCAUCCGUGGUUCUCCGCGGUGCACUCUGCCUGCCCAGGCCAGCAUCAGUUCGCCCCGGGGGAUAAAGGCUUUGGGAAUGUGGCUCCCUCGGGAGUGUUAUAGCCCACUGUGUAAUACCCUGGGGUGGACUGAGGUUCGCGCUCUGCAAGGAUGCUGGCGUAAUGGUCAUCAACGACCCGUCUUGAAACACGGACCAAGGAGUCGUCUUCGUAUGCGAGUGUUCGGGUGUCAAACCCCUACGCGUAAUGAAAGUGAACGUAUGAGAGAGCUUCAGCGCAUCUCCGACCGAUCCUGAUGUUCUCGGAUGGA